Molecule: long non-coding RNA, 1235 nt
Organism: Eriocheir sinensis (Chinese mitten crab)
Lineage: Eukaryota; Metazoa; Arthropoda; Malacostraca; Decapoda; Varunidae
Exons: 2
Source: RefSeq, a predicted model, not a curated record
GCGUGGGACGCGGCGGACAAUGGUGCUGUUAUGGUGGCAUGUCUCGCUCGCCACGCCACGCCGCCCUACGCCUGCCACGCCUCGCCCCUGCACCCCACCCGCCUCCCUCACCGCCGCCUGCCGUGUGCACGUGCUGGCGUGGGUAUCACCGGUAGCCGCGUGUAAGGGCCGCCGCUCAUUAUGCUUUGGAUUCAUUGGAUUUGGUCUUAUAUGGGGGCAGUGUAAGAAUGGGAUAAUCACGGGUAUUUACAUAUCAUUAUCGGGUGUGGCCUGUGUAGACAAGGGAACAAAAAGUGGAUCCGACAACAGCUGCCCGCGGGCACACCUGGCGUAGUCCAGCACGUGCGUUGCCAUGACUACAGCGUCUUGCCCCGCGCUGUCGGACGCACAAGUCGAUGCCAACUUGUUUUACCUCGUGAACCUAUGCGCACAGUAUUUCAGCGGUGUUAACUUGAGGGCUCCACCUUACCAAAAGAGUAAUCAAAUACCUGUUCAGUAACUCGUGCAUGCAAAGGGAAGCAAAGGGCCACACAAACUUGUAAUGACCAAGUCUGCCUGGCGGCCACUUCUCAGCCAGUCAUCACCCGGCCAGCGGAGGAUGUGGAUGCGUGACGCUCUCUCCGCCCGCCGUGCUUCUUCUGGCCCCCGGGCUCUCUGAAUCUCCACGCGCGGGAUCUUGGCGGUGCUGCUGUUGGGGUUUUGUAUCACUUUUGUGCCUCAGGCUCCGGCACACUGAAGAGCAGGAUUAAUGUCGGGAACAAGCUGAAAAAGUGUUGGAAACGAGUGUUUCAACAAGUGUCUAAUUGAAGGCUUUGAUCUCUGUCCUGUAUCCUCGUCAACCAUGGGCGGGACAUGUACGUCCAGCUCCUUCCUGCCGCUGCUGCUCGCCACCCUCAGCAUCACGCACGAGUGGUGAGCAUUAUCAUACACGAUAGAUGAGUCUGCCUGUCCAGCGAGGGUAAGGGACGUGAAAGUGUACGCUCCUCAGCUUUACUUUGCCCAUCGCCUGACGUUUGCAGCUCAACACACAGCGCAAUACACAGCGCAACACACAACGCUGCCGCUCGCUAUGAAGAUUAUUUCGCGCCGCGGUGCUCCUGGCUCGCAAACGUCUCAAUAAACGGAGCGUCGAUGUUACUUUAUCGUCAACCUUUUUACGUCUCUGUUGAGCUUGUUUUGACCCGAGUGAUGUUUAUGUCAGCAGACGAGAGAACUUAAUAAAUUGAGGCACAUUA